GUCCAGGGUUAGUUCCUUGAGUUGGUUCUAAUUUCAGAAAAGAAUAAGAAUACUUUGGUUCACAUGUGUAUCCUCAAUGUCUGUCAGUAUUUUAAGGAUAAUAGUAAUGUCCCAUAGAUUCCUGGGUUGUCUUUGAAACCUUCUGUGGGUCUGGGGACUCUGCUGGGGACCCAGGCUGGGCAUCCCUGCUCUAGAGUUUGAUGGUCCAUAUUCCAGGAAGCUGGGUGGUUGUCCCACAAGAAAAGGUUGUAGAAGAGCCUUCUAGGCAGAAGAUAGGGUUGAUUCUGCUGUGGGUUCCUCUUAGUGCCCCAUGUUACUUUUUAGCAAGGCUGAUCCCAUGAUAGCCCUGGUUGUGCCAGGCCUAUUUGGCUCCUCAUGCUCAUGCCUCCCACUUGGACUCAAGCCAGACCUGGAUCCUGAAAGCCCAAUCAUGGAGUAUUUUAGGAGCCCCAUCCACAAAGAUUGAAGAAAGAGGAUUAUUUUGCUUGCCUGUGAUUGGUUUCUGUAGAAGAGCAGGGUUGGUUUCUGUAGAAGAGCAGAACGGAAGCAACUUCACCACUCUAUACCAAUGGCAUUUCUGAGUGGACAAGCUGAAAUUCAGUAAUGUCUCCAAGCAUCGUGGCUCUUCUCUCAAAAUGAACUUUGAGGCUGCUAACCCUGCAUGACGUAGCCUACGGGACACUCCACUCCCUCCCUGUUCUCAUCAAACAAGAGAAGUUGCACAAGCUGGAGGGGCAGCUGGAUCACAGUUUAUGCUGCCCCCAGGAUACAUCUUUCAUCCUAAUGGUGCUUAUUCAGCUGUGGGGAUGCAUUGGUAUCUAGCUGAUUUUUGAAAAAGUGCAAAAAUCCAUUUAAAAACACAACCAAAUCCUCCUUUUGAGAUAGGGGCCUUGUGUGGGGGUGGGGAGGAAAAGGAUGAGAAAAAUUUCCAUCUUAUUUUCUGAUAUUCUUUGCUUUGUGGGUGAAUACUUACAGAGAUGCCUGCAGGCGGUUUUCCAGAGCCCGUUUCUGAUCAAAGUCAAUAAAGCUCUUUCUCUAUGUAGGAAGGAAGCUCUCUUUUAGACUACUUUCUUACUUUGUGCUUUCUUAUGUAGAUAAGUCAUCUAAAAUCACACAACCACAGGUCCUUAUCUGUCAGGGCCUGGUAGCUAGCACUAGUGACUUUUUUUUUAAUCCAAUAAACAUGAAUUAAGUUAUUUCGAUGGUGCCAGGCACUGAGACAGCUAUCUAUUAGGGAUAGAGGGAUUCAGAGGAAAAACAAACAGCUGCCCUUUCUAUUUGUGUGUGUGUGUUCCUACUAUGUGCCAGGUAUAGUAACUUUUGUGUAAUAGUAAUGAGAAAAAGCAAUUUAAAAAUUAUUUCCAUUUUAUAGAAAUGUAGAAGUGGAAACUCUGGGAAGUGAAAUAAUUUGCCUAAGAUCAUUCAGGAAGGUAUUCAGUGUUUGAGCUGAGCUUUCUGAUAUUGGCCACUAGAGAGGAGUGGAAUAAAGAAGAAAGGGCACCUUGGGAAGAAUUAUUGGUAUAACAAAAGCAGGGGGUGGUGAUGGGGAGAUGGGAGGGCCAGAUCAGGUUCUGCAAAGAGUUUUGUGCAUUGUCAUUUGAACCGUAAUGAGAGAGAAGGUUGGAUUGGGAGGAAAACUUGAUAACAUGAAGUAAGGUUUGGAAUACCAAGCUCUGCCAGUUGAAAUUCAUUCUUAAACACCUGGAUUUAUUCCUGUCAACAACUGUAAUAUAGAUUAAUUAUAGGUAAGACUAAGUUAAAAAAGAUAAUCUGUGAAAUAAUCCAUCAGUGAUUUUUAUUGUGUUUCUCCAUUAUAAAACCAGUGCAUACCCAUUAUAAACAUUUUUGGAGUGUCAAAAAAAAAAAUAGAAAGAAAAAAAUUUCUCAGUGCAGCUACUAUGCACCAUUUGGUCCCUUUCUUUUUAGUCUUUUUUUUCUUCCCUUCUAAACGCUUGGGUUGUUUGGUUUACAUAAUUAUCAUUAUAUUGUAAAUAAAACUUAGUACCACUUUUCACUUACUAUUGUAACAUAUAAUUUUAUUUUACAUGCUAUAAGGUCUCUAAAACUUACAUUUCAUGAUUGUAAUCCACUCAUUGAAUAUACCACACUUAAUAUAAACAAGACUUUAGAGUUGGAUAUUUAGUUGUUUUGUACUUUUCACACCUGAUCAAUAACACUUUGAUGAAAAUGUGCUUUAAGAUUUUCUAAAAAUUCAAAUAAUUUCUAUAAGAUGAUUUUCCGGGAGUGCUGCUACCAAAUGAAAGGUCACAUGUACUUUUCAGCUCUUCUGUCAUAAAACCAACUUAAGUCUUUUGUUUUUGUUUUUGUUUUAGAGUACCAACAAUUUGUCUGGUUAUGUGCUAGGCUGACUCAAGAAUCUCCAUUCUAGUGAGAUCGCUAAAAACAAUAUGAAAUAUCAUACAAUGUUGGUGAUGAGGAAUAUUACGAACCUGUGUCCCAUGUCAUGAUGAAUCAGACUUUCUGCAUCACAUAUCAUGAUGAGUCAUGACUUUCAGAGCUGGAAGGACCCUCAGAAAAGAAUCCGGUCUUGGCCCAAAGCUGCAGUGGGCAAAGUAUUUUAGAGCAGGCAGCAAAGGCCAGUACAAAGCAUGUAUUGAGUAAAUGGCACAGCAGUUUUCAGAUCUCUAAAAUCAUCACCUCUGGGUCAUUUCUAGCAUAAAAGGUCUAUGAUACCAAGACCAGCCCUCUGGCUCUAUCUGCUUAAAGCUGGAAUUCUUAGCAUUUGAUACAGCCCCAUUUACAGAAGCAUAGCAUACUCCCUCAUAUAAGUCAAUCAAUUAAGAGACAGUGUUCCAUCAGAAUUUCCAAUG
Long non-coding RNA from Macaca mulatta (Rhesus monkey), 2831 nucleotides. The record is from Ensembl. NCBI's taxonomy places the organism in Eukaryota, Metazoa, Chordata, Mammalia, Primates, Cercopithecidae.